UGGAAAUUCAGGAUACAACUGUGGUAACUCACACGACAACAUAACGUUGAAGAUUGUGAUAUGGUUGAAUUUUAUUACAAUAAAUUUGAUGAUACUUGUAAAGUGUGCAAUGAAAAAAAAAAGAAAUGCUGAUGACCACAAGUUACUCAAGUGGACACGGAUUUACCUCAGUUGAGAUGUUGGAUGUAGCUUUGUUAGGCAUAGAUUCUCCCUGGAAAAAGUGGGUACAGAUUCAGACACCUUUAACUCAGAUAGAGUCAGAUCUCCAUUUGGUUUGCAUCAAUAUUAAAUCACAUCAUUAUAUAAAUUCUAUUUUAAUGUCAGUCAGGUGAUUAAUCUUCUAUAUUAUGUUGUGACCUACUUUAAAAGAGAUCAUUUCUUAUUUAAUGUCUCCUGUGAAAUCACAUUUAUUAAUGGCUCAAAGACCCAUUAAAUAUAUAUUUGACUUAAGAGCUGUAUAUAAGGUGGUAAAAGCACUAAAACCCUUACCCUUCCAAUCAGAAAAAUGUUUACUGUAAUUGUUAGUGUUUUAAAAGUCUUUUAAUGGUAAUAUUUGAAAUGUUUUGUUAAAACUGAAUUUUCUGUUUAUUUUCCUGUCUAUCUAUGUAUACUUCAGUACAAAUUUGAUUAAGAAAUGAUACAACAAUAUACAGAUAUUUUUAACUUUUGUUAAAGGUUUAAAAAGUUGAAGCUGGUUUAAUCUUCUGAUCUUGUACCUCUUAUUUAUCUGUAUGAUAUGGAUUUAUGAAAUGUAUUAAUGAGAUAUCUGAAUAAGCACCAGUUUAUCCACAAUAUAUAUACUCUCUGAAGUUAUUGAGAACUGUUUUUGACAAUAUAAGUUAAUUAGCUCAAAAUAUGUCAGAAUGUAAGGAAUAAGUUAAAUGAUUUUCUGUAUUUGAAUAUCUUACUUACAUAAUGCCAUGUAUAAAACUAUUAUUUUCAGUAACAUUUUAAAAUGUUUGUAGUUUUAGAUAAUGUAUUUACAAUGGUGAAUAAUGAUAAAACUUGAAGCAACUAUUCAAGAAUCUUAAGUUUUGGUUUGUGUAAAACAUACCAAAACAAAAUAAAAUACAUUCUGAUAAAUUUGUUUUUCUCGUGAAAAUGUGCAAUAAGAUUAUCAUUAAGACAACUGUUUCCAGAUGGUGGAUAUUAAUUUCAAGAUGAUAAUGCUUCAUGGCUUUGUGCCAAAAAUGUUAAAGACUGCUUAAACUGGAUCACAGAUAAGAAUGUAACAAGAAAGGACUAAGCAACACAGCUGUGUGGUUUAAACCAAACAGAGAAUUUGUGGAUAACAAUGAAAUGUUAUUUUAAUAAGUUUCAUCCAGAAAAAUAAAAUUGAGGCUAUAUUGCCUUUUGAAAUCAUAUGAUAAAUGAGAUCUGGAAAAGGUUGUUGGCAGUAUGCUAUUCUCAGGUGCACUGAUUUAGCUUACAGACAUGAAGAGUAAGUAAAAAUAACAGGAGGAGUGGAAGAAAAUGUAUCCCAAAACAAAACUGAAUUUCUGACUCUGACUAAAUUUAAGUAAACUACCAAACAUAGUGUAAGAACAACUUGAAAGUAACAUAUUUUCACUUGCAGCACACAUCAAAAACCAGUGCAUAAAGAUAAUGCUCAGUGCUUCUCUGUUACUUUUAAAAGAUCUUGACAGAAUAAAGUUUGGCUAAAGAGUAAUUAUAUCCAUUCCAAGAAUGAGUAGACUUACCACUUUAUGCAAAACAUAGUGUCAUGUCUUCCAGAAUAUAUGUAUUAUCCGUGUUACAAUCAUUCCACAAGUAAAAUUAGGGAUGACAUUGUCUGCAGGUGAUUUCAGAUAUUUGUAUAGUUCACCUUAUUAUAGUACCACAUGAUGUUAAACUACAUAGAAUUCUAACAUCUGUAAGAGAGGGAGUUCAACAUUGUCUAAGGGGAUUAAACAUAUGACAGUGAGUAAGAAGAGCCACAUACUGGAACCAGUUCUCUACUGAUAAACCCAUAAGUAUUUCCACAAAUUUGUACAAGUAGAAAAAGACUGAAACACUUAGGUGAUAAUGACAUGAAGUGUUCAACUUUUUUAAUAUUGAAAGGAAAAUAAAUGAAUAUAUAGUGUGUUUCACUUACAACACCAAAUGCCACAAAGAUGUUGUAUGGUGAUGAUAUCUCACAAUGUAUUUUAUAUACUUGUAUAUUUGUGUAUAUAUAUAUACAUACAUAUACACACAUACACAAUAAAAUAUACAGUAUUGUACUACUGCUGCUUGUUAAUUUUAACAAAGGUUCUCUUUGUACUUUAUGAAGUCUGUUAUUAUCUCAACUUCUAAUAAAGAUAAAUACAAUGUUUUUCUUCACUAGUGAAUUCAGCAUGACAAUUAUUUCAGAAUAUAAUUGCAAACAUACAAUUGAGAACUCUUAAAAAAAA
This 2393-nucleotide long non-coding RNA is filed under the name Limulus polyphemus (Atlantic horseshoe crab). RNAcentral's name for it is "uncharacterized LOC111083942". The record is from RNAcentral. Lineage: Eukaryota; Metazoa; Arthropoda; Merostomata; Xiphosura; Limulidae.